AUUGAACGCUGGCGGCAGGCCUAACACAUGCAAGUCGAACGAGUGGCGGACGGGUGAGUAAUGUCUGGGAAACUGCCUGAUGGAGGGGGAUAACUACUGGAAACGGUCGCUAAUACCGCAUACACUCGGAUGUGCACAGAUGGGAUUAGCUAGUAGGUGGGGUAACGGCUCACCUAGGCGACGAUCCCUAGCUGGUCUGAGAGGAUGACCAGCGAAACGGGAACUGAGACACGGCCCAGCGCCCUAGGGGAGGAAGCAGGGGGGAAUUGGGCCAAAUGGCCGAAAGCCUGAGGCAGCAAUGCCGCUGGGAGGAGGAGGGCCUCAGGGUUUUAAAGUCCUUUCAGCGGGGAGGCGGUACCCGCAGAAGAAGCACCGGCUAACUACGUGCCAGCAGCCGCGGUAAUUC
This 406-nucleotide ribosomal RNA is filed under the name uncultured bacterium. RNAcentral describes it as "partial 16S ribosomal RNA". It matches the Rfam family "Bacterial small subunit ribosomal RNA", at positions 29 to 526 of the family's 1533-position model. The record is from RNAcentral.